UGGGGAAUAUUGCACAAUGGGGGAAACCCUGAUGCAGCGACGCCGCGUGAGUGAAGACGGUCUUCGGAUUGUAAAGCUCUGUCUUCGGGGACGAUAAUGACGGUACCCGAGGAGGAAGCCACGGCUAACUACGUGCCAGCAGCCGCGGUAAUACGUAGGUGGCGAGCGUUGUCCGGAAUUACUGGGUGUAAAGGGAGCGCAGGCGGGGAGCCAAGUUGGAUGUGAAAUACCGCAGCUCAACUGCGGGGCUGCAUCCAAAACUGGUUCUCUUGAGUGAAGUAGAGGUAGGCGGAAUUCCUAGUGUAGCGGUGAAAUGCGUAGAUAUUAGGAGGAACACCAGUGGCGAAGGCGGCCUACUGGGCUUUAACUGACGCUGAGGCUCGAAAGCGUGGGGAGCAAACAGGAUUAGAUACCCCCGUAGUCC
RNAcentral lists this ribosomal RNA (424 nucleotides) under uncultured bacterium. Its description in RNAcentral is "bacterial SSU rRNA". It matches the Rfam family "Bacterial small subunit ribosomal RNA", at positions 355 to 796 of the family's 1533-position model. The record is from RNAcentral.